This 253-nucleotide ribosomal RNA is filed under the name uncultured bacterium. RNAcentral's name for it is "partial 16S ribosomal RNA". It matches the Rfam family "Bacterial small subunit ribosomal RNA", at positions 524 to 776 of the family's 1533-position model. The record is from RNAcentral.
UACGUAGGGGGCAAGCGUUGUCCGGAAUUACUGGGCGUAAAGAGCUCGUCGGUGGUUUGUCGCGUUGUUCGUGAAAACUCACAGCUCAACUGUGGGCGUGCGGGCGAUACGGGCAGACUGGAGUACUGCAGGGGAGACUGGAAUUCCUGGUGUAGCGGUGGAAUGCGCAGAUAUCAGGAGGAACACCGGUGGCGAAGGCGGGUCUCUGGGCAGUAACUGACGCUGAGGAGCGAAAGUGUGGGGAGCGAACAGG